RNAcentral lists this ribosomal RNA (500 nucleotides) under uncultured bacterium. RNAcentral describes it as "partial 16S ribosomal RNA". It matches the Rfam family "Bacterial small subunit ribosomal RNA", at positions 29 to 523 of the family's 1533-position model. The record is from RNAcentral.
AUUGAACGCUGGCGGCAUGCCUUACACAUGCAAGUCGAACGGCAGCACGGGAGCAAUCCUGGUGGCGAGUGGCGAACGGGUGAGUAAUACAUCGGAACGUGCCCAGUAGUGGGGGAUAGCCCGGCGAAAGCCGGAUUAAUACCGCAUACGACUGGAGGGUGAAAGCGGGGGAUCGACAGACCCCGCGCGAUUGGAGCGGCCGGUGUCAGAUUAGCUAGUUGGUGGGGUAAAGGCCGACCAAGGCAACGAUCUGUAGUUGGUCUGAGAGGACGACCAGCCACACUGGGACUGAGACACGGCCCAGACUCCUACGGGAGGCAGCAGUGGGGAAUUUUGGACAAUGGGGGCAACCCUGAUCCAGCAAUGCCGCGUGCAGGAAGAAGGCCUUCGGGUUGUAAACUGCUUUUGUCAGGGAAGAAAUCCUCUGGGUUAAUACCUCGGGGGGAUGACGGUACCUGAAGAAUAAGCACCGGCUAACUACGUGCCAGCCGCCGCAGUAA